Non-coding RNA from Diplodia corticola, 72 nucleotides. Lineage: Eukaryota; Fungi; Ascomycota; Dothideomycetes; Botryosphaeriales; Botryosphaeriaceae. The record is from Rfam.
GGGUCUGUGGUUUAGUGGUAUAAUAUUCCCUUAGCAUGGGAGAGGUCCCGAGUUCGAUUCUUGGCGGAUCCA